UAAGUAUUUUGGUUCUAGUUUGUUGCUGC
Molecule: small RNA, 29 nt
Filed under: Bombyx mori (domestic silkworm)
Lineage: Eukaryota; Metazoa; Arthropoda; Insecta; Lepidoptera; Bombycidae
Description: piRNA piR-bmo-1436024
Source: RNAcentral